RNAcentral lists this transfer RNA (75 nucleotides) under Normichthys operosus (multipore searsid). Its description in RNAcentral is "tRNA-Leu (UUR)". It matches the Rfam family "tRNA". Rfam says of the family: Transfer RNA (tRNA) molecules are approximately 80 nucleotides in length. Their secondary structure includes four short double-helical elements and three loops (D, anti-codon, and T loops). Lineage: Eukaryota; Metazoa; Chordata; Actinopteri; Alepocephaliformes; Platytroctidae. The record is from RNAcentral.
GCUGGUGUGGCAGAGCCUGGUAAAUGCAAAAGGCCUAAGCCCUUUCCUACAGAGGUUCAAAUCCUCUCCCCAGCC